UGAGGAAUAUUGGUCAAUGGGCGCAAGCCUGAACCAGCCAUCCCGCGUGCAGGAAGACGGCGUUAUGCGUUGUAAACUGCUUUUCCAGGGAGAGAAACUUGCGCACGUGUUGCGCAAUUGACGGUACCCUGGGAAUAAGCAUCGGCUAACUCCGUGCCAGCAGCCGCGGUAAUACGGAGGAUGCGAGCGUUAUCCGGAUUCAUUGGGUUUAAAGGGUGCGUAGGCGGACUAUUAAGUCAGUGGUGAAAUCCUGCAGCUUAACUGCAGAACUGCCAUUGAUACUGAUAGCCUUGAGUUUGGUUAAGGUAGGCGGAAUGUGUAAUGUAGCGGUGAAAUGCUUAGAUAUUACACAGAACACCAAUUGCGUAGGCAGCUUACUGAGCCGACACUGACGCUGAGGCACGAAAGCGUGGGGAUCGAAC
RNAcentral lists this ribosomal RNA (422 nucleotides) under uncultured bacterium. RNAcentral's name for it is "bacterial SSU rRNA". It matches the Rfam family "Bacterial small subunit ribosomal RNA", at positions 355 to 773 of the family's 1533-position model. The record is from RNAcentral.